Molecule: ribosomal RNA, 421 nt
Filed under: uncultured dinoflagellate
Lineage: Eukaryota; Dinophyceae
Description: partial 18S rRNA
Source: RNAcentral
UAAGAACGGCCAUGCACCACCACCCACAGAAUCAAGAAAGAGCUAUCAAUCUGUCAAUCCUUACUAUGUCUGGACCUGGUGAGUUUCCCCGUGUUGAGUCAAAUUAAGCCGCAAGCUCCACUCCUGGUGGUGCCCUUCCGUCAAUUCCUUUAAGUUUCAGUCUUGCGACCAUACUCCCCCUGGAACUCAAAGACUUUGAUUUCUCAAAAAAUGCCGAAGGAAUCAACAGGCAACCACCUCCCAUUUCUUGGUAGCAUAGUUUAUGGUUAAGACUAGGACGGUAUCUAAUCGUCUUCGAUCCCCUAACUUUCGUUCUUGAUUAAAGAAUACAUCCUUGGCAAAUGCAUUCGCAUUAGUUUGUCUUUAACAAAUCCAAGAAUUUCACCUCUGACAGUUAAAUACAAAUGCCCCCAACCAUCCC